This 484-nucleotide ribosomal RNA is filed under the name uncultured bacterium. RNAcentral's name for it is "partial 16S ribosomal RNA". It matches the Rfam family "Bacterial small subunit ribosomal RNA", at positions 30 to 507 of the family's 1533-position model. The record is from RNAcentral.
AUUGAACGCUGGCGGCAGGCCUAACACAUGCAAGUCGAGCGGAUGAAGGGAGCUUGCUCCUGGAUUCAGCGGCGGACGGGUGAGUAAUGCCUAGGAAUCUGCCUGGUAGUGGGGGAUAACGUCCGGAAACGGGCGCUAAUACCGCAUACGUCCUGAGGGAGAAAGUGGGGGAUCUUCGGACCUCACGCUAUCAGAUGAGCCUAGGUCGGAUUAGCUAGUUGGUGGGGUAAAGGCCUACCAAGGCGACGAUCCGUAACUGGUCUGAGAGGAUGAUCAGUCACACUGGAACUGAGACACGGUCCAGACUCCUACGGGAGGCAGCAGUGGGGAAUAUUGGACAAUGGGCGAAAGCCUGAUCCAGCCAUGCCGCGUGUGUGAUGAAGGUCUUCGGAUUGUAAAGCACUUUAAGUUGGGAGGAAGGGCAGUAAGUUAAUACCUUGCUGUUUUGACGUUACCAACAGAAUAAGCACCAGCUAACUUCGUG